UAACUUUGUUUCAAUACAGACAUUUGGUCGGCUGGCUGUGUACUGGCCGAGCUGCUACUUGGACAGCCGAUUUUUCCUGGUGACAGUGGCGUAGAUCAGCUUGUUGAAAUCAUCAAGGUGCUGGGAACUCCUACACGAGAGCAGAUCCGGGAGAUGAACCCAAAUUACACUGAAUUCAAGUUUCCACAGAUAAAGGCACACCCGUGGACGAAGGUUUUCCGGCCCCGGACCCCUCCGGAGGCGAUAGCUCUGUGUUCCCGGUUGUUGGAGUACACUCCUACGUCCCGAUUCACUCCUCUGGAGGCCUGCGCUCACACUUUCUUCGACGAGCUCCGUGAGCCCAACCUCAAGCUCCCGAAUGGAAGAGAGCGGCCUGUGCUGUUUAAUUUCACUACACAGGGUAUGCUGCACACAAAUGCACAAACGAUGAUGAUUGAUUGAAUCUUUUUGAGGCUCAGAGAUAAUUUGAUCAAAGAUGUGGUAAAAUAUUAUUACAAUUUAAAAUAACUGUUUUCCAUUUGAAUAUAUUUU
Molecule: RNA transcript, 531 nt
Organism: Sinocyclocheilus grahami
Lineage: Eukaryota; Metazoa; Chordata; Actinopteri; Cypriniformes; Cyprinidae
Gene name: glycogen synthase kinase-3 beta-like
Exons: 4
Source: RefSeq, a predicted model, not a curated record